Molecule: ribosomal RNA, 253 nt
Filed under: uncultured bacterium
Lineage: Bacteria
Description: partial 16S ribosomal RNA
Rfam family: Bacterial small subunit ribosomal RNA
Source: RNAcentral
GACGGAGGAUGCAAGCGUUAUCCGGAAUUAUUGGGCGUAAAGCGUCCGCAGGUGGCUGUUCAAGUCUGCUGUCAAAGCGCAGAGCUUAACUCUGUACAGGCGGUGGAAACUGAAGAGCUAGAGUAUGGUAGGGGUAGAGGGAAUUCCCGGUGUAGCGGUGAAAUUCGUAGAUAUCGGGAGGAACACCGGUGGCGAAGGCGGCGACCUGGGUAGAUACUGACGCUGAGGUGCGAAAGCGUGGGGAGCAAACAGG